AAAAACAAAAAUAGAAAAAAUAAAUGGUCAUUCUUUAUUUUCCACUCUCUCUCUUCAAAUCAAAACCAAACGAAAGGGCUCUGUACAGAGCGCCUCCCUCUGCAAACCCUAAAGCUCCUCUCUCUUAGAGAGGACGACUGGAGACGGCGGCUCACGGCGGAGCCUCCGCUCUCCUUCGUCGCUUCAUUCUCUCCCGUUCCUAACUCUGAUUCAUGAACCAACCCUCUUUCUCCUUCUCAUAAUUUCGAGACACACAAUAUAAAAUCAUGCGAAAACAAACUCAAUCAAAAUAUCUACAAAAAAGGGAAACUCAUGGAAGAAGAUAGGUGUGAAUCGUUUACCAAAUCGGAAGCUCUGAAAAUCUCCGGGUUCGGUGAGAUCCUCCGGAUGUCGGCAACGGUUCUCUUCGGCGAGCGAUUCUUCAGUGAGGUUAUAGGAAUGAAGUGACCUUGAUGGAAUGGAAAAGUGGCGGUAAGAAAGCACACUUGGAGGCGCGCCCAAGUCCAAGGGGUUUUCAAUUUGAUUACUUGGUCUUGGUCAUUAGAAUUAGGAACAUGUUUUUGCAGCAAAUUCCACUUAGUUAAAAUGUGUAUUUGGACUUAUCUGUAACUUAUUGAAUUAAAUCUAAUAGCCACUAAUAACUAUGUAUUCAA
Lathyrus oleraceus (garden pea) is the source of this 653-nucleotide long non-coding RNA. RefSeq lists it as uncharacterized. The record is from RefSeq and is a predicted model, not a curated record. The transcript has 2 exons. NCBI's taxonomy places the organism in Eukaryota, Viridiplantae, Streptophyta, Magnoliopsida, Fabales, Fabaceae.